UACGUAGGGUCCGAGCGUUGUCCGGAAUUACUGGGCGUAAAGAGCUCGUAGGUGGUUUGUCGCGUUGUUCGUGAAAACUCACAGCUUAACUGUGGGCGUGCGGGCGAUACGGGCAGACUUGAGUACUGCAGGGGAGACUGGAAUUCCUGGUGUAGCGGUGGAAUGCGCAGAUAUCAGGAGGAACACCGAAAGCGAAGGCAGUCUCCUGGCAAGUUUCUGACGCUCAGGUGCGAAAGCUAGGGGAGCGAACAGG
Molecule: ribosomal RNA, 253 nt
Filed under: uncultured bacterium
Lineage: Bacteria
Description: partial 16S ribosomal RNA
Rfam family: Bacterial small subunit ribosomal RNA
Source: RNAcentral